Molecule: transfer RNA, 80 nt
Filed under: Devosia nitrariae
Lineage: Bacteria; Pseudomonadati; Pseudomonadota; Alphaproteobacteria; Hyphomicrobiales; Devosiaceae
Description: tRNA-Thr
Source: RNAcentral
GGGCGGGCUGGGGCGCACUUGCCGCUUCCCGGCCUGGUGCGUCGGCCGGCGGCGGCGCGAGCUUCACCCGCGCCUGGCCA